AAUAAAAUGGAGAAUGGGAAUGCAGCGAGGCGGAUGCUGCCAGUCAUCGCCCGCCCGCAGGACUGGAACCCCCUGGGGUCAUCUGCUGUUCCCCAGCAAAGAAACCUGGUCCUGAGCAGCUGGAACUAACUCUGAAGUCAGCACUGAUUUGAGAAAGUCCAAAGGCCCUUCCAAACAAAAUUGUACAAUAAUUCUGGGAGGAAAAGGGAAUCAUGAAUAAGCCGCAUAGUAGGGAAAGGGUAAGGGGUUGGUGUUUCCUGAAAUGACAAAAACCAACAUAGUGUUAGAUUAUAUGUAAUAUAUUAUUUAUAAUAUAUUAUAUAUAAUAUAAUAUAUGUAAUUAUAUAUUAGAUCAGCAAUAUACCAUGUCAUUUAUUAAAAACCCUAAGCCUUGCAGAGUUUUCUUUCAUCUGAGGUGUGUUUCACUUGGUAGAAGUCCCUUUGUUUUUCUGGUUUCUUUCUUCUGUGGAGGAAGGAUGUCAUGUGUAAAUAAAGGAUAUGAUGCUCUGCACUACUGACAUUUAUUAAAUUAAAGCUGUAAUCAGUACAGUAUGUCUUAACCAUAAUAUUAAUAUGGCUAAAACAGUAAAUGCUAUCAUGUUCAAAGCCUAACACCUGUUUUAUAUUAGCAUUUGGAUAGUUAUUUCAUUUUUUGUUCUAAUAGAAUAGUCUUUGAUGAAAUCCAAAACUCAGCUGUAAUUUUUAGCUCCUAACCCUUCAUAAACCCCAGAAUAUGAUUCAAAAAGCCUACUCUUAGAUCUUAAAUAAGUUUCUCCUAAGUUUUGCCAGACUGUUGUGAAAAUGUUGGAAGCAUAGGGAAAUGAAUACAAAUGCUGCAUCCCUUGGCGGGACCAGGCAGGUCAGGAUGUUGCCUGUGACCUCCAGCAAGCAAGUCCCCUGCGAUUCAGAGCAAGGGGACUCCAUCCUGUCCAGCCGUGCUCCUGCAGUCAGACCUCGAGGCUCCCACCUCCCGCCGCAGGCAUGCCCUGGGGGAGUUGUGCAAGGAGAGCAGAGAGGCCAGCUCUGGAGGAACUUUGCUUUCUCUUCAACCCAGACCUGAUGAUUUCUUGCAGCUGGUUGGUGCUCACAGAGUGUUUCACAUCUAGCACACAGCAAGCAGGGGGGAGAUGCUGUGCUGCAAAUGUGAUCCUACCAAGUGUGGGAGAGGACUGUGAAAACCAAGACAACACAGGUAGCUAAGUACUGGGCUACCUUAAGUUAACCUGUAGCGAUAGGAUAGCCCUCCCUCCCGUCCCUCUGCACAGCCUGACUGCUAAUGUAGGCCUUGGAAGAUGACACAAGUUUAACUGAGUGAAUGAAUUAGCUGAGCACCUGUGUAAAACCCACCAAAAACCUCACUUGAAGCAUAACCAGCCUUAAGUUUGGGCAGUGUUAGCUUAAAAAUUCUGAAAUAAAUGAGAAAGAACCCAAAGUCUAGUGGGUUGU
This 1446-nucleotide long non-coding RNA is filed under the name Anas platyrhynchos platyrhynchos (common mallard). RNAcentral's name for it is "lncRNA (ENSAPLG00000020456.1)". Lineage: Eukaryota; Metazoa; Chordata; Aves; Anseriformes; Anatidae. The record is from RNAcentral.